This 440-nucleotide ribosomal RNA is filed under the name uncultured bacterium. RNAcentral's name for it is "bacterial SSU rRNA". It matches the Rfam family "Bacterial small subunit ribosomal RNA", at positions 958 to 1398 of the family's 1533-position model. The record is from RNAcentral.
AACGCGAAGAACCUUACCCAGACUUGACAUGUAGAGGAAGCCGGUAGAAAUAUCGUCGCCCGCGAGGGUCUCUGCACAGGUGCUGCAUGGCUGUCGUCAGCUCGUGCCGUGAGGUGUUGGGUUAAGUCCCGCAACGAGCGCAACCCUUAUCACUAGUUGCCAACACGUAAUGGUGGGAACUCUAGUGAGACUGCCCGGGUUAACCGGGAGGAAGGUGAGGAUGACGUCAAGUCCGCAUGGCCCUUAUGUCUGGGGCUACACACGUGCUACAAUGGUCGGUACAGAGGGAUGCCAAGCCGCGAGGCGGAGCAAAUCCAAAAAGCCGGCCCCAGUUCAGAUUGUAGUCUGCAACUCGACUACAUGAAGUUGGAAUUGCUAGUAAUGGCGUGUCAGCUACAGCGCCGUGAAUACGUUCCCGGGCCUUGUACACACCGAUACUC